GCUCCUGUACUUGUUGAAGAGGACAACUUCCCCGACAGAGGAGGACCAUUCUUCAAUGAAGGGUGUACCAGUAAUUGUGCUCCCCUGCUAGAACAUCCAAACAAGCUGUCAAGAUCCAUUCAUAAAAUGUAGUAGGAUAACAAAGCCUCCAAGACUCCAGGCACAUCCAAGUAAGUUUUUGCAUAUGACAGUCUUUUUUUCUU
Molecule: small RNA, 203 nt
Filed under: Mustela putorius furo (domestic ferret)
Lineage: Eukaryota; Metazoa; Chordata; Mammalia; Carnivora; Mustelidae
Description: 7SK RNA (ENSMPUG00000023414.1)
Rfam family: 7SK RNA
About the family: 7SK was discovered as an abundant small nuclear RNA in the mid-70s but a possible function has only recently been suggested. Two independent studies have found that 7SK RNA binds the CDK9/cyclin T complex (known as elongation factor P-TEFb). P-TEFb activates transcription by phosphorylating the C-terminal domain of RNA polymerase II.
Source: RNAcentral